RNAcentral lists this ribosomal RNA (253 nucleotides) under uncultured bacterium. Its description in RNAcentral is "partial 16S ribosomal RNA". It matches the Rfam family "Bacterial small subunit ribosomal RNA", at positions 524 to 776 of the family's 1533-position model. The record is from RNAcentral.
UACGAAGGGGGCAAGCGUUGCUCGGAUUUAUUGGGCGUAAAGGGUGUGUAGGUGGCUCUAUAAGUUAGAUGUGAAAGCCCAAGGCUUAACCUUGGAAUUGCAUUUAAAACUGUAGAGCUUGAAGAUCACAGAGGUAAGCAGAAUUCCCAGUGUAGAGGUGAAAUUCGUAGAUAUUGGGAAGAAUACCAACGGCGUAGGCAGCUUACUGGGUGAUACUUGACACUGAGGCACGAAAGCGUGGGGAGCAAACAGG